This 305-nucleotide ribosomal RNA is filed under the name uncultured bacterium. RNAcentral describes it as "bacterial SSU rRNA". It matches the Rfam family "Bacterial small subunit ribosomal RNA", at positions 335 to 656 of the family's 1533-position model. The record is from RNAcentral.
UCUCCUACGGGACGCAGCAGUGGGGAAUAUUGCACAAUGGGGGAAACCCUGAUGCAGCGACGCCGCGUGAGUGAAGAAGUAUUUCGGUAUGUAAAGCUCUAUCAGCAGGAACGAGACAAGACGGUACCUGACUAAGAAGCCCCGGCUAACUACGUGCCAGCAGCCGCGGUAAUACGUAGGGGGCAAGCGUUAUCCGGAUUUACUGGGUGUAAAGGGAGCGUAGACGGCAGUGCAAGUCUGGAGUGAAAGGCGGGGGCUCAACCCCCGGACUGCUCUGGAAACUGUACGGCUGGAGUGCAGGAGAG